Molecule: ribosomal RNA, 332 nt
Filed under: uncultured bacterium
Lineage: Bacteria
Description: bacterial SSU rRNA
Rfam family: Bacterial small subunit ribosomal RNA
Source: RNAcentral
AGAGUUUGAUUCUGGCUCAGGAUGAACGCUAGCGACAGGCUUAACACAUGCAAGUCGAGGGGCAGCAGGGGGUAGCAAUACUCUGCUGGCGACCGGCGCACGGGUGAGUAACGCGUAUGCAACCUACCUAUCAGAGGGGGAUAACCCGGCGAAAGUCGGACUAAUACCGCAUAAAACAGGGGUCCCGCAUGGGAAUAUUUGUUAAAGAUUAAUUGCUGAUAGAUGGGCAUGCGUUCCAUUAGAUAGUUGGUGAGGUAACGGCUCACCAAGUCUGCGAUGGAUAGGGGUUCUGAGAGGAAGGUCCCCCACACUGGUACUGAGACACGGACCAG